This 419-nucleotide unclassified non-coding RNA is filed under the name fungal sp. Its description in RNAcentral is "partial internal transcribed spacer region". The stretch from base 1 to 46 matches the Rfam family "Eukaryotic small subunit ribosomal RNA", at positions 1786 to 1831 of the family's 1831-position model. Lineage: Eukaryota; Fungi. The record is from RNAcentral.
AAGUCGUAACAAGGUAACCGUAGGUGAACCUGCGGUUGGAUCAUUAAAAGUAUCCGAGUGCUUGACUCGAAGCAAAAAUGACAUUCAAAACUUAUCUGCGCAUGGAGGACUGCAUCAGUCGUUCGCGGAAUAAUGAAUUUGAAUGGAUGUUUUGUUUUUAAGUUUUAAGCAGAUCUCACCACAACUUGUGCACCUGUAAUAGACCGUUGGCGGUUGUCCAGUGCUCUGUGCUGCGACUUGCAUUCAAUUGCAAAGGCCGUCAACAAGUUCUCUCCUUUCUUUUUUUUUUUUAAGAAGAAAAGAAAUGGGACAACUUAAAAACCACUACAACAACCAUACUAUUUUAUUUUUUUUUAAAAAAUAACUUUUAACAAAAAGAUAACCAAGAACAACUAUUAACAAUGGAUCUCUUGGCUCUC